GUGGAGCAGGACCACUGGUUGUUACAGGCAUUGCUCUCACUGCUGAGGGAAUUGUCAUUCCCAAAUUGGAUGCAGACAGGAUUAAAAGGGAUGGAGCUAGAGCAAUGGUUUUUCCGGGUGUUGCACUCCCUGGAGAAGUUGUUGUUGGAGCUUGGGAGAGAAU
Phyllopteryx taeniolatus (common seadragon) is the source of this 163-nucleotide long non-coding RNA. RefSeq lists it as uncharacterized. NCBI's taxonomy places the organism in Eukaryota, Metazoa, Chordata, Actinopteri, Syngnathiformes, Syngnathidae. The record is from RefSeq and is a predicted model, not a curated record. The transcript is spliced from 2 exons.